GAUCCCGUGGUCCAACGGUCAAGACACCGGUUCGACAUACCGGGAACGAUGGUUCAACUCCAUCCGGGAUCA
RNAcentral lists this transfer RNA (72 nucleotides) under Planctomycetaceae bacterium. RNAcentral describes it as "tRNA-Val". It matches the Rfam family "tRNA". From Rfam's summary of the family: Transfer RNA (tRNA) molecules are approximately 80 nucleotides in length. Their secondary structure includes four short double-helical elements and three loops (D, anti-codon, and T loops). Lineage: Bacteria; Pseudomonadati; Planctomycetota; Planctomycetia; Planctomycetales; Planctomycetaceae. The record is from RNAcentral. RNAcentral also lists the same sequence under 1 other name.